UCUCCUUAGGACCACCCUCAGCAAACCUAUGAAGUAGACAUUACUUUAUGAUGUGUUCUCUUACGACAAGCAACUAGCAUUUUCACAUCCUUCAACUGCACCCACAAACCCAUUUCCCUACGAAUCUGGAAAGUGUGUGCUCUGUCUGCUAUUCUCGCACAUGAGCAAAGCUAUACUUUGGAAAGAGAACGGAGUACUGCUCUCACCUUCUCCGUAAGCCGUGGGUCAACUUGAGAAGAAGCAGACCGGGAGUGAGUGUUGGGUGUAGUGAUGGAACAGAGCUUAGAAACCUACCAGGCAGCAUCCAAGGAAAAAACUGAAAGUGAGCCUGGUAAACUAGACAAAGCAGCCAUGAUUCCAAAGAGGGUGAUGAGUGGAAGAGCGUCAUCCAGAAGUCUGUGCAAAAUCCCAGUAACAGCUGGUAGGAUCAGAAUUCCCUAUGCAUCCUAGGAAAGUGCAACUGUGGAACAAACCAAAGAAAAGGAAGGAAAUCUGAAACUCGAAAGGAGAAGUAAGCGUGCAGUGGGGACGGUCACAUGAUGUAGUGGUCAUAGCGCAGGGGGCCAUAAAUAAGAAUGUCUUCUUUGCAAAGGGAAAACACAGCUGCUAGGUUUACAACCCAAAAGACUUUUCAGAUUUCUAGGGGCUCAGUAUGACCGCAAGAGAGGUGGGAGCGGAGAUAAGGGAGCUGAAAUCUGUUUUGACCACUCAACUGUAAUAACACUUCUCGUUUAUCACUGUAGGCAAUAAGAGGAAGCCAUGAGGUCACAAAGUUGAACAAGACUGAGCAACUAAACACAGGAUAUGGUAGCAUGUGUUAAAAAGCCAUGCAAGUUACUGAUGUGGAAAUGAGAAAAAAGAUGAAAUACUUAUGGAAUUUUAAAAAUUUGCAAUGUAACUGACAUAUUACCUUAAGGGGUGCAAUAUAACUUGAUGUAACAAAGUAAGUUUAGUCAAUAUUUAUCACCUUAUGUAGUAACAAUUUUUCUUGUCACAGCUUUUAAGGUUUACUCCUAAGAUGGAAUUUUUCACUGCUGUUAUGCUUUUCAAAAUACCUAUGAAUUCUGCAUAUUUGCUUUUUUCAUGUUUUCUAACCCACUUACCAAAAACAUUCUCCUUUCCAAAUUAAGCCAACCUCUACCAAAAGCAACUUAAAUGAUAUUUACUAUUUCUAGCAUACUUAUUUUGAAGUUUU
Molecule: long non-coding RNA, 1195 nt
Filed under: Capra hircus (goat)
Lineage: Eukaryota; Metazoa; Chordata; Mammalia; Artiodactyla; Bovidae
Description: lncRNA (ENSCHIG00010003024.1)
Source: RNAcentral